RNAcentral lists this ribosomal RNA (523 nucleotides) under uncultured bacterium. Its description in RNAcentral is "bacterial SSU rRNA". It matches the Rfam family "Bacterial small subunit ribosomal RNA", at positions 362 to 879 of the family's 1533-position model. The record is from RNAcentral.
UCUUCGGCAAUGGGCGCAAGCCUGACCGAGCGACGCCGCGUGCGGGAUGAAGGCCUUCGGGUUGUAAACCGCUGUCGUAGAGGAGGAAAUGCAGGGGGGUUCUCCCUUCUGUUUGACCUAUUCUAGGAGGAAGUACGGGCUAAGUUCGUGCCAGCAGCCGCGGUAAGACGAACCGUACAAACGUUACUCGGAAUUACUGGGCUUAAAGGGUGCGUAGGCUGCGCGGAAAGUUGGGUGUGAAAGCCCUCGGCUCAACCGAGGAAUUGCACUCAAAACUACCGUGCUUGAGGGAGACAGAGGUAAGCGGAACUCAAGGUGGAGCGGUGAAAUGCGUUGAUAUCUUGAGGAACACCGGUGGCGAAGGCGGCUUACUGGGUCUUUUCUGACGCUGAGGCACGAAAGCUAAGGUAGCAAACGGGAUUAGAUACCCCGGUAGUCUUAGCUGUAAACGAUGAGCACUUGAUUGGAGGGUCCUCCAUAGCCUUCCAGUCGUAGCGAAAGUGUUAAGUGCUCCGCCUGGGGA